Long non-coding RNA from Rhinolophus ferrumequinum (greater horseshoe bat), 889 nucleotides. RefSeq lists it as uncharacterized. NCBI's taxonomy places the organism in Eukaryota, Metazoa, Chordata, Mammalia, Chiroptera, Rhinolophidae. The record is from RefSeq and is a predicted model, not a curated record. The transcript is spliced from 4 exons.
GCCCCCUUCAGGACACUCUGCCUCCAGGGAGCUGUCCUGACAAUUUCAAGCCCCAGUAAUCACUGUCUUCUGAAACUCCACUGCAACUGCUGUCUGAACGCAGGAAUCGACCUCUAAAUAUACACUGCCCCGGAAGGAACCUGUGAAGGCAAAGCUGCCUAGAGCCCCAGAAGCCAUGUUGGCCUCCUCUGCAUUGGACCUGAGACAUCUCUGCCGUCUUGAGUCUUCCACCCACCCGCUAUGUUCCUAGGCCUAAAGAAUUCAGUUGUGUCCUGCUGUCUUACCUGCCCCGGUUCCCAGGAGGCUAGAAGAGCACUUACUUGGAAGGCACUCAAUGCUUAUGCAUUUGUUAAAGGAGUAAAUGAUUUCAUCUGGUUGCUUGCUACUGGUCUCCUGGAAUACACUUUUCCUUUUCUGUGUUUUGGAAGAGUUUGAGAAGCUUUGGGGUUAAUCCCCAUACAAGAGGAAUUGGAGUGACCCACCUGCUGAGUUUGGAAAGAAGAACUGGAUAUAAGCAGCCUUCCUUUCUCUCUCUUGCGUUUGUGAGCAAACUGCUUUCAGGUGGGACGUGCAAGUCUUCUCAGCUUUUAAUGGCCUAACUUUCAACAGGAAACCUGUCGCUGGAUGAAUAAGUCUGCCUCAGCCUGGAGUCAGUGUUAGAACAAGUACUUCCUUGUAGUACAAAUCAUCCUUUUAAUUUCAGCUUUUAUCUAUGACGAAGUUAAUAUUUUUUUAAUUUUGUUCACUUUAAAUCCAAAGCUUGGUCUGGGAAGAAAGAUUUUAUAAAUCGUCAAGUCCUCUUGGACUUGAAGAACACUGAAAACAGAAAGUUCUGAUUAUGUCUCCCUGGAAGUGGAGUAGACAUAGUGAGAAGUGCCUAAAACUUACC